Long non-coding RNA from Nerophis ophidion (straightnose pipefish), 1715 nucleotides. RefSeq lists it as uncharacterized. The record is from RefSeq and is a predicted model, not a curated record. The transcript is spliced from 5 exons. Lineage: Eukaryota; Metazoa; Chordata; Actinopteri; Syngnathiformes; Syngnathidae.
UGUAGCCUGAAGGCCUGAAACGAAACCUAACAGACGUUACUUCUCUUGCCAGCCUGUUUGGAUGUCGGUGGAUGUUCACCUGUUGCGUCGUCGCUGCUAUUGACUCCAACAGACAUUUUACCAGCCUUUUACAGCGAGGAGCUGUGUGUGACCAGUGUUCCACUACCACGCACCGUGUAGCUUCUUUUAUCACAGAGCGAAGCUGUCGGCGGGCCCCUGCCCAGAGCCUGCCUCACGUCGAACAGACCGGACGCCUGUAUUUGGUCUCAAGAAGAAAUGCCGUGGAAGUGUUUGCUACGAGUUCACCCGAGUGGUGGGGCAAAAUCUCAGAGAAAACUUCUUUGAGUCACUUGACCGUUUCCCACCAAACUUGAUGGACCUCUUCAGGAAGAAGAGGGGCCUCACCGGACAACUUUUAACUGAUCAAAGACCACUGAGCCAACAGACAUCAGGUGCCUUUGUCUUCGUGGACUGCCAGUCAUCUUGGGGGAUAAUCCCUCUGCGUUCUUCAAAACCUGCUCUGAUGUGACUGACAAGGACUUGUACAGUCCGACUCCAGUGGGAAUCCUCUGCAUUGAAGAACAUCCUCAGCUCAACCCAUCCAGAGUGGCCAUCGUCUUGGAGGGGACUGUGGUGAUGGAGGAACUGGCCAACCUAGCACAGGCCUUCUGUGUCCUUUUUGGACUGAUUUAUGCCUUGCACUUGGAUUACCCCAAGUGCAUGAAAAACACUUUCCAGUUUAAUCAACAGGUGAUGCUCAACCUGGGCAGAGGUGAGCUGAAACCCAAAAUUCAAUCUUUGAAGAAUCAACUCUCAGGGUGUUGAAUACACUGCUCCGGAUAUCGGUGCUUAGUUAUUUGUAAUGUUGCACUUUUAUAACACCAUGUUUACCGUUGGAACUGUUUGAUAUGCAAGUUUUUAUAUAUUGCUAUGGAUUUUGCAAUUUGAUUCCAUCCUGAUUGUUAUGCGAGUUAUGUAUGGACAGAGAUAUGUGCCACUAGAAACUGAAUUAGAAUAUUGACAUUUGAAUUUGAAUUGCUCAAUUUGAAUACUUUAAUUAAAAAAAUGAAUUUGGAUCACAUAAUUUGAAUUGUAUUGUUUAACCUGAAUAACUGAAUUGAAAAAAUUUAUAUGAAUAGCAUAAUAUAAAACUGAAUUUAUUUGCUUUGAAACUAUUCAGUUUCCACAAUUCAAGUAAUCAAAUUGAGCAAUUCAAAUUAUGUCAAUAAUUCAAAUUCAGUUUCUAGUGGCACAUAUCUCUGUCCAGUCAGGUUAUUAGCACUGAUCUAACAGUUUGGUCCCAUUCCAAUUGCUAACUACAGUAUGUUUUAUAGCACUGAUUUUGCAAUUUGAUUCCAUCCUUAUUGGUAUGUGAUUCAUGUUAUUAGCACUGAUCUAGCAUCUAGCAUUCCAUUCCACUUGCUAUGUUUUAAGGCAUUGGUACUGAUUUUGUUUAAUUCCAUCCAGACUCAAAAGAGUCCUACUUGAUGCAGUCUUUGAUUUGAUGUGAUAUUUUGAAUACAAACCUAUUCUUUUUGUAUAAAAUGAUAAAGACACAGAUGCAACUCCAUUAUAGUUCAGCAGACCAAAGAGAGAUUGUAACUUGCGGUGAGAGUGACUGCAUUAAUGUUCUCACACUGUACUGACAUUGUUGUUAAAAUGUUAAGAGGCAAGGUUUUUGUGACCUAACUUUAAUAAAAUAUGGAAAGAAUGUA